UAGGGAAUCUUCCACAAUGGACGCAAGUCUGAUGGAGCAACGCCGCGUGAGUGAAGAAGGUUUUCGGACCGUAAAGCUCUGUUGUUGGUGAAGAAGGAUAGAGGUAGUAACUGGCCUUUAUUUGACGGUAAUCAACCAGAAAGUCACGGCUAACUACGUGCCAGCAGCCGCGGUAAUACGUAGGUGGCAAGCGUUGUCCGGAUUUAUUGGGCGUAAAAGCGAGCGCAGGCGGAAGAAUAAGUCUGAUGUGAAAGCCCUCGGCUUAACC
RNAcentral lists this ribosomal RNA (268 nucleotides) under uncultured bacterium. Its description in RNAcentral is "partial 16S ribosomal RNA". It matches the Rfam family "Bacterial small subunit ribosomal RNA", at positions 355 to 614 of the family's 1533-position model. The record is from RNAcentral.